UCAUCAUUUGAUCAUCUGAGAAAGAUACGGAUCGAAUAACAAGAUAUCAUCUUAGAGCUCUUUGAUCGAUCUUUAGUCAAUAUCUUUGGUUCAUUUGAUGCUAGAUAAAAUCUUUCAACUCAGCAGUCCACGCACAAGAAAUUAGAAUGAUAAACAGUCGAAAUCGGUGACAGCGUGCGAUGGCAAUUUCAUAGCGCUUUUCGUUUAAAACAGUCAAUUGGAAGUGAAUCAAUUGAAGUUUUCAAACUACCGAGAGAUGCCAUUGGUGUCCGAAUUCAAUGUGUCCUGAAUCAUCCAGAAUUAAUACGUAAUUCCAUCGACAA
Long non-coding RNA from Aedes aegypti (yellow fever mosquito), 323 nucleotides. RefSeq lists it as uncharacterized. The transcript is spliced from 2 exons. NCBI's taxonomy places the organism in Eukaryota, Metazoa, Arthropoda, Insecta, Diptera, Culicidae. The record is from RefSeq and is a predicted model, not a curated record.